Alnus glutinosa is the source of this 518-nucleotide long non-coding RNA. RefSeq lists it as uncharacterized. NCBI's taxonomy places the organism in Eukaryota, Viridiplantae, Streptophyta, Magnoliopsida, Fagales, Betulaceae. The record is from RefSeq and is a predicted model, not a curated record. The transcript has 3 exons.
UUGUGGCUCUUGCCGGGAAAAAUAAAGCUGAUUUGGAAGAUAAGAGGAAAGUGACAGCUGAAGAGGCACGUGUAUAUGCCGAGGAAAAUGGACUCUUUUUCAUGGAGACCUCUGCCAAAACUGCUGUCAAUGUCAAUGACAUAUUUUUCGAAAUAGCCAAAAGGUUGCCUAGGGUUCGGCCUGCUCAGAAUCCGGCAGGAAUGGUUCUUGUGGACAGACCUGCAGAAGGAUCCCGAGCUGCAUGAUCAUGCUGUUCAUAAAGUUUUCUCAAACAUCAGUUCUAGGUCUGUCCGUUUUCUGUCUGUUCUUUGGUCUGCUUGAUCUGGAAAUUAAUUAAAUGGCACUGUAUUUUGGAAGUGAACCAAGUCUGCGGAACCAAUACUCCAUUUUUUUCAAAAUAUGCAUGGACAUGACCAUAUUUAAAUCAAUCCUUUUAGUUUUGGAUUGUGCAAUGUGCAGUGCACAAAGUAAAUGCAUCAAGGUUUAAAUUUGUUUAACCAUAGAAGUAAAGUAUUCCC